CGGUAGCUCAGUUGGUAGAGCAGCGGACUGAAAAUCCGCGUGUCGCUGGUUCAAUUCCAGUCUGA
RNAcentral lists this transfer RNA (65 nucleotides) under bovine gut metagenome. It matches the Rfam family "tRNA", at positions 5 to 66 of the family's 71-position model. From Rfam's summary of the family: Transfer RNA (tRNA) molecules are approximately 80 nucleotides in length. The record is from RNAcentral.